This 92-nucleotide ribosomal RNA is filed under the name Jeotgalicoccus coquinae. RNAcentral also lists the same sequence under 1 other name. Lineage: Bacteria; Bacillati; Bacillota; Bacilli; Caryophanales; Staphylococcaceae. The record is from RNAcentral.
CACACCUGUUCCCAUGUCGAACACAGCAGUUAAGCUCUCCAGCGCCGAUGGUAGUUGGACUGACGUCCCGCAAGAGUAGGACGCUGCCAGGC